This 336-nucleotide unclassified non-coding RNA is filed under the name soil metagenome. RNAcentral's name for it is "partial contains 5.8S ribosomal RNA, internal transcribed spacer 2, and large subunit ribosomal RNA". The stretch from base 1 to 120 matches the Rfam family "5.8S ribosomal RNA", at positions 35 to 154 of the family's 154-position model. The record is from RNAcentral.
GAUGAAGAACGUAGCGAAAUGCGAUAAGUAAUGUGAAUUGCAGAAUUCAGUGAAUCAUCGAAUCUUUGAACGCACAUUGCGCCCGCCAGUAUUCUGGCGGGCAUGCCUGUUCGAGCGUCAUUUCAACCAUCAAGCCCCCCGGCUUGUGUUGGGGACCUGCGGCUGCCGCAGGCCCUGAAAAGCAGUGGCGGGCUCGCUGUCACACCGAGCGUAGUAGCAUACAUCUCGCUCUGGGCGUGCUGCGGGUUCCGGCCGUUAAACCACCUUCAUAACCCAAGGUUGACCUCGGAUCAGGUAGGAAGACCCGCUGAACUUAAGCAUAUCAAUAAGCGGAGA